Molecule: long non-coding RNA, 824 nt
Organism: Hemicordylus capensis (graceful crag lizard)
Lineage: Eukaryota; Metazoa; Chordata; Lepidosauria; Squamata; Cordylidae
Exons: 3
Source: RefSeq, a predicted model, not a curated record
UUCGCCGCGGCCGGCGGAGCUCUGUCCUGCGCCUCGCUCCCUGCCGACCUCCGAACAGCGCUGUGCUGCCCGCAGGCUGGCGUCCCUCGGAGGGAGGGAGAGGUAGCAGGCCUAAGGCGUUGGGCUUGAGCAUGUGGAGGAGACUGACGGGGAGAGGAGGACGGGGAGGUGGGGAGAGGGAGGGGGCUGUCCUGGAGGUAGAUAGGAAGCUGCUGCCUUGUCCCGAGCAAGAGGAGACUCCUCCUGCCUGCCUGCCAUCUCGGAGAAGCCGCUGCCAGUCUGUGUAGGCAGUCCUGAGAUAGAUGGACCAAGGGUCUGACUCGGUUGAAGAAGGCAGCUUCCUAGGGCUCCUGCAGUGGCCAGCCCGGGGGGUUUCGUUUUCAGAAGGAAGUGGGGAGAUGUUUUUAGCCCAAACACAGUGGGGGACCCUUUAUUUUGCUAUUCUCAAUUAUUUACAGCAGCAUUCCUGGAGGAGGAGCUGAGGAUAUUGGCUGAUGACCGCUGGGAGACCAGUCUUAUAAGGGAGGUUUAGUUGCCAAUAAUCGGAAAACAUCCAGAAGAUCCCAAGAGAAGUGCUAUUGCUGUACACAGCGCCCUGAGCUUUCAUGUACCAGUCACCAUCUUUGGUUUAGAAAUUCUGAGCAUCAUCCACAAUGAUGUGCUUGAGGUCUGGAAAACCUCUUUUCAUGAAAGUAACUCUAGUCACAGCUCUGGGCAUUUCCUUCCUAAAACAGGUGUUUAAAAUCUCAUCAAAACUUGAUUAGGCUUAAGCUGGUUUGUUUGUUUUUUAAUAAAAACAACACUUUGCCAAGCAAACACACAAG